Molecule: long non-coding RNA, 297 nt
Filed under: Rosa chinensis
Lineage: Eukaryota; Viridiplantae; Streptophyta; Magnoliopsida; Rosales; Rosaceae
Description: sRNA RchiOBHm_Chr2g0156301
Source: RNAcentral
CUAGGAUUUAAGUGUGGUAACCAUUAGCUAGCUUAAUUGUAGCUAAGCUUGCUUGGGUCUCUAUUAUCUUGCACUCUAGGCCUCUAAUUUUAGAUAUUGCGGCCUUAACCGGCGUAAUGCCUAAAUUAGAGAGUUGAUUGUGGCCCUAACCGGCAUAAUCGAUACACCGAAAGGAUAAUUGGUUUAGUAGCCUUGACCGGUACUAAAUACGGGACUUAACACAUAUAGGAAAUGCAUGCAUUUAUGAAAUUGGCACCGAUAUUUGCAAGAUAGUUAGUGUGAAUCACCCGACACUCC